CCCAGCUGCUGAUUUCUGCUUCUGGGACAAGAAAGAGUGCAAGACUAUAGUCUAGAGUGGUGCAAAGCUGAGUUUCUCACUUAGUGACUCUUGGCUGUUUUCCUCUAGGACAGAAAACUCAAAAUUUGAGUUGUUUUCAGACCAGAAUCAGAUAUGCUCUCGCUAUGAGUCCUUCGGUAGUGUAACACAUACAAGGCACUUUUAAUUUGGUGAUAUUGAGGUGACUGUAAUAGAGGUGUGGACCACCUGCUCUCUGCCAUCACUGUGCGUGGGAAGCCCAGUAGCUGUUCCAGGUAGAAAACCCUGCAGGGGUUUGACAUGCUCUUCAAGGUGCCCACCAUCAGCCAGGUACUUUCUAUCAUCUCAUGGUUGGCUCACAGCAGCGCAUGAAGCUAGAAUACUGAGAAUGAUGGCUCUGGGUGUGCAUCCUGUGUACUAAAUGGAUUUUACAAGUGUAAAUGUAAAGUGAAAUCGAGAGCUGUGUGGUGUCACUGUCUGUGCAGAGCAUGACAAAAUGCAGAAAACCAUAUCUUCAUAGGUUACUCCUGUAUCUUUGCAUCAUUAGGACAGCACAUCCUCCCUCUUGGUCUCGGUGUUAAUGACCUUUAACCUCACUGAGGAGGAGUGACGUGAUGUAAAAGUGUCAGGACUUUUGUGUUUUAAAUAAAAUUAUUUAUUGAAGCUGGUCUGUUCA
Molecule: long non-coding RNA, 694 nt
Filed under: Scleropages formosus (Asian bonytongue)
Lineage: Eukaryota; Metazoa; Chordata; Actinopteri; Osteoglossiformes; Osteoglossidae
Description: lncRNA (ENSSFOG00015030301.1)
Source: RNAcentral